RNAcentral lists this transfer RNA (72 nucleotides) under Ictidomys tridecemlineatus (thirteen-lined ground squirrel). Its description in RNAcentral is "Spermophilus tridecemlineatus (thirteen-lined ground squirrel) tRNA". It matches the Rfam family "tRNA". From Rfam's summary of the family: Transfer RNA (tRNA) molecules are approximately 80 nucleotides in length. Their secondary structure includes four short double-helical elements and three loops (D, anti-codon, and T loops). Lineage: Eukaryota; Metazoa; Chordata; Mammalia; Rodentia; Sciuridae. The record is from Rfam by way of RNAcentral.
AGGGCUGUAGCUCAGUGGUAGAGUGCUUGCCUAGCAUGCAUGAGGCACUGGGUUCAAUGCUCAGCACCACAU